GAUGGAUCAUUUCUACCGUGGUGCUCUGGAAGUUAGUCCUGCAGGUCCACGGGAAGCCUGCUCUACUGCCUUGCCAAAAUUUGGAACCGUACGUUAUGAUAACAUCUGUGGAGAUAAGGGAUAAUAAGAGAAGAAGAAUUUGAAGUUGGUGAUCUACAAUUACAUUCAGCCUCUCAGAAGCUGGCAUGAAAAGUUUUAAAAUGGACUCAACUAGUGUAUGCGCUUUUCCAGGGGAGGAUGCUAGAGAAAACAAAAG
Molecule: long non-coding RNA, 256 nt
Organism: Zalophus californianus (California sea lion)
Lineage: Eukaryota; Metazoa; Chordata; Mammalia; Carnivora; Otariidae
Exons: 3
Source: RefSeq, a predicted model, not a curated record